RNAcentral lists this unclassified non-coding RNA (1035 nucleotides) under Hevea brasiliensis (rubber tree). Lineage: Eukaryota; Viridiplantae; Streptophyta; Magnoliopsida; Malpighiales; Euphorbiaceae. The record is from RNAcentral.
CUUACAUGAUCUUUGAUCAGGUUAUGGAAGCAUAGACGUAAAACAUUGACGAGGUUGUUUUUUGAAAGCCAUGGGGACUGAAAAUCCUGGUCGUCCAAAUUUUCCUGUGGCAGCUUCCACCACACCAUUUGCUGCUCCUCCUCCAACUAUGACACCAUUUUCAUCUUCUGGUCCUAUGGUUGGAUUAGAGGCCCCUGGCUUUAGAGCUAGUCCACCAGCGGUUCCUCAAACUACAAUACCUUCUACAUUAUCUGGGCCUGCAGGUGGCUCACAGACCCCUGGCUUUAGACCUGCUCCUCCAGCAUCAUAUGUGCCCUCUGCUGUUGGACCCUUCCAGCGUUUCCCAAUGCCACAAUAUCCUACUACACCUCAAACUCAAACUCCAUCAGCUGGAGCUCCUCCUAUUGGGCAACCAUCAUUUCAACCUCCUGGUCAGGUAUCAUCCCCACUUUUAUAUCGUCCACAGCCACCGCAGAUGCCUUCUGUACCAAUGGGAUCUCCUCCUCCUUCAAAUGUGAAUGUUCCUCAAUCUUCAUCGGAUUCAUCAUUUUUUACUGCCAGGCCCAAUUUUCAGCCAUCUUUUCCUCCAGCAGAUUCGUCUUAUCCUCCUUCUAGAGCCACGUUGCAGCCACCUUUACCUGGAUAUAUAAAGCAAUCGGCUGCAGUUUCACAAGCCCCUCCUAUGCAGUCCCCUUUUCAAGUUCAACAAGGAAGUUACGUACCUCCUGCUCCAACGCAAUCUUCCCCUUUUCCUUCUCACCAAGGAGGUUUUGGUCAACCUCCGCCAGUAGCUGCCUCUUUUGGCUUGCAUUCAAGGGAGCAAAUCCAACAGCCAGGCUCCCUACCUCCUAUAGGUGGCAUCCAAGGCUUAUUGGAAGAUUUCAGCUCACUUUCGAUUGGGUCUAUGCCAGGAUCAAUAGAUCCAGGACUUGAUCCAAAAGCAUUGCCAAGGCCAUUGGAUGGUGAUGUGGAGCCAACUCCAUUACCUGAAGCAUACUCUAUGAAUUGUGAUCCUAGAUAUCUACGGCUUACAAC